Myotis lucifugus (little brown bat) is the source of this 681-nucleotide non-coding RNA. Lineage: Eukaryota; Metazoa; Chordata; Mammalia; Chiroptera; Vespertilionidae. The record is from the annotation of a RefSeq genome assembly.
AUGGCCUGGACUCCUCUGCUCCUCGCGCUCCUCUCUCACUGCACAGGGUCCCUCUCCCAGCAGCCUGUGCUGACUCAGCCGCCCUCCCUCUCUGCAUCUCCGGGAGCCACAGCCAGAUUCACCUGCACCCUGAGCAGCGGCCUCAAUGUUGGUGGAUACAGGAUAAACUGGCACCAGCAGAAGCCUGGGAGCCCUCUCCGGUACCUCCUGAACUACCACACUGACUCAGAUAAGGGCCAAGGCUCCGGGGUCCCCAGCCGCUUCUCUGGAUCCAAAGACGCCUCGGCCAAUGCGGGGCUCCUGCUCAUCUCGGGGCUGCAGCCUGAGGACGAGGCUGACUAUUACUGUCUGAUCUGGUACAAUAAUGGUCCCACAACCAAUGCAGGGCUCCUGCUCAUCUCAGGGCUGCAGCCUGAGGAUGAGGCCGACUAUUACUGUGACACAGGAGGAAGCCCAGGCACAGGGCUGGCCGUCACCUCUGCUGGGACCCUGACCUUCAGUGCCAUUGGGGAGAGGGGCUGUCGGAGGGAAAUGGGUGGCCUGGGCCCAGGGACCCUCUUUGGGUCUCGACAGGGGUGUGGGUGGCUGUGGGCCAUGGGGAGCAGGACCUUCCCAACAGGUGCCUGUCACUCCCGCUGGGAAGCUGUUGAUGAGCCCAGAUCCCAGGUCACCUUCUCCUGA